RNA transcript from Hyla sarda, 2012 nucleotides. It is a transcript of the gene named DnaJ heat shock protein family (Hsp40) member C15, with no coding region annotated. The record is from RefSeq and is a predicted model, not a curated record. The transcript is spliced from 7 exons. Lineage: Eukaryota; Metazoa; Chordata; Amphibia; Anura; Hylidae.
CCAAUACAAAUUUUAAUGGCCCAUUUUCCUAUUUUAUCCCAAAAAACUUAAAAAAAAUAUAUAUAAAAAUUUAAAAACAUAUUUAGUAUCGUCACGUGCAUUAAUGUCCGAACUUUGUCACAUUUUAUUUCCCAAAAAUUUUUCAAGCGAUUGAAAACUUAAAGAAAAAGUGUUACCGAUAAAAACUACAGAUAACAGCGCAAAAAAUGAGCCCUCAUACCGCCCCGUAAUGAGAAAGUUAUAGGUGGUCGAAAUAGGGCAAUUUUAAACAUACAAAUUUUGUUAAGAAAGUUAGAAUUUUUUUUUUUUUUUAAAGGUCUACAAUAGAAGAGCAUGUAAUCAUGGGUAUCAUUUUAAUCGUAUUUAACCAGAAUUAAGAAAACAUGUCAUUUUUACCGUAAAGUGUACAGCAUGAAAAACAAAAUCUUCCAAUUUCCCCACAUUAAAAAUGUCUUUGGUUGCGCCAUACAUUUUAUGGUAAAAUGGGUGAUGACACUACAAAGUACAAUUGGUCACACUAAAAAACAAGCCCUCAUAUGUGAAUAGAAACGCGAGGAGGAAAAAACGACACACGCAAAAAUAAAAGUGGCCUGGUCCUUAAGGGGUUAAUGGGGGCACGAGCAAUGAGGGCAUCGUCUGUUGCACUCUGGCAAUAUACAUCAGGCACUGAUAACAGGGGCAUUCUGUGACACGUACGAUGAAUAGGCGUCCUGUCAGGCGGGCACUCUGGUUUGUAGUCCUUUGACUACAGCAGCACUGUCUCCCUGAGUUUCUACUCACGCAGUUACUGAACGACCACUUCCGGGUGUUUUGCAAUCGCUUAGUUUUGACCUCCGCGGCUACCGUCCUCUCCAGUCUGUCAUGGUAACCUCCAGCGGCGGCAUGGCGUCCUCAGAUUCUCUGUACUAUGCAGAGUAUAGGAACGGGAACACGGCUGCUCCGGCGGCUGGCAUCGACCGGAGGCUGGGUGGAACAAUGAUUGCAGUGGGACUUGGAGUUGCAGCAGCAGCUUUUGCAGGUCGCUUCGCUUUCCAGCUGUGGAAGCCUUUGGGUCAAGUUAUUGUGGAAAACGCCAAAAAAAUCUCUACUCCAAGCCUUUCUUAUUAUUACAAAGGAGGAUUCGAGCAGAAAAUGAGUAGGCGAGAAGCGAGUCUUGUUUUAGGUGUCAGUCCAUCUGCUAGCAAAUCCAAGAUCCGGAUGGCACAUCGGAAAAUCAUGAUUUUAAAUCAUCCAGAUAAAGGUGUUCACUCACAAUAAUUGGGCCAUGUAACGGCAACUUUUAGCGAAGACCAUUCGACUUGUUCAUAGCUGAUCAGCGCUCAUGUCUGGAAGCUGGUUGACUGUCUUAAAGCAUCCUUAUUUUCUUAUUAAAUAGUCUUCCGUAUGGCGGAUCACCUUAUAUAGCAAUGAAAAUAAAUGAAGCAAAGGACUUACUGGAGUCUAGUGCAAAACAAUGACAUAAGAGAGAUGAAUAAUUAAUUUGUAUUAAGCUCUUUGCUGCCAGGAAAGAGAGUGCGCCUGCCUGUGCCUGCAUACCUGUUAGCAAAGAGUCAUUUUCUAAAUAUGUUAUUUAUACAGUUCAUAAACAUGUUUAUUUAAUGAAGCAAACCAUCCACCAUUGUCCCUUUAUUUUAAUAUAGCAUCAAGAAUAUAAGUGCAAUGGUAAAAGGGCAACCUGGCAACACACCAGUGACCUCAAUGAUUUUCACAUUGUGUCGAUGUAUAUUGCAUUUGUAUGUAGAUGUUUCUCCAGAAGCUGAAUGGUUUUCAUCCUAUUUUUGAGUAUUUGCCUAGUCAAAUAGACUUUGCUGUAACCUUGGCAAACUCACAAGAGCUGGAGCUGUAGAAACUUCAUCACAUUCUGUGCCUAGAUCCCAGCUGUUCUUAUAAGGGGCCAUCAGCCGGCUUCACAAUCAUCUCUCUCUUUGGACCAUCGUCUUUAUACAUUGGAUGCAGAGCACGUCCAUGUAAUGUGGAAAAAAAAUAAAUAUGUAAUAAAAUGUUGUAGUCGC